AUCAGUAGGGGGCCUAAGAGGGUGUACCCCCACACUGGUACUGAGACACGGACCAGACUCCUACGGGAGGCAGCAGUGAGGAAUAUUGGUCAAUGGAGGAAACUCUGAACCAGCUACGUCGCGUGCAGGAAGAAGGUCUUUUAGGUCGUAAACUGCUUUUGUGUAGAAAUAAAAUUUCCUACGUGAUAGGGAUUUGAAGGUACUAUACGAAUAAGUGUCGGCUAAUUCCGUGCCAGCAGCCGCGGCAAUACGGAUGACACAAGCGUUAUUCGGAUUUAUUGGGUUUAAAGGGUGUGUAGGCCGUUUAUUAAGUCAGUAGUGAAAGCUUACAGCUUAACUGUAAAAUUGCUAUUGAUACUGGUAAACUUGAGUAAGAUUGGAGUAUCUGGAAUGUAUGGUGUAGCGGUGAAAUGCAUAGAUAUCAUACAGAACACCGAUAGCGAAGGCAGGUUGCUAAAUCUUUACUGACGCUGAGUGCACGAAAGCGUGGGUAGCAAACAGGAUUAGAUACCCUGGUAGUCCACGCCCUAAACGAUGAUCACUAGCUAUUGGAAAAACUAUAUUCAGUGGCUUAGCGAAAGCGAUAAGUGAUCCACCUGGGAAGUACAGUCGCAAGAUUGAAACUCAAAGGAAUUGACGGGGGUCCGCACAAACGGUGGAGCAUGUGGUUUAAUUCGAUGAUACGCGAGGAACCUUACCAAGGCUUAAAUGUAUUACGAAUAAGCUGGAAACAGCUUAGUCUAUAUGACGUACUACAAGGUGCUGCAUGGUUGUCUUCAGUUCGUGCUGUGAAGUGUUUGGUUAAGUCCUAUAACGAGCGCAACCCUUAUUGUUAGUUGCCAUCGGGUAAAGCCGGGGACUCUAACAAAACUGCCGGUGUAAACUGUGAGGAAGGUGGGGAUGAUGUCAA
RNAcentral lists this ribosomal RNA (910 nucleotides) under Candidatus Uzinura diaspidicola. Its description in RNAcentral is "bacterial SSU rRNA". It matches the Rfam family "Bacterial small subunit ribosomal RNA", at positions 279 to 1188 of the family's 1533-position model. Lineage: Bacteria; Pseudomonadati; Bacteroidota; Flavobacteriia; Flavobacteriales. The record is from RNAcentral.